Rosa chinensis is the source of this 2478-nucleotide long non-coding RNA. RefSeq lists it as uncharacterized. The record is from RefSeq and is a predicted model, not a curated record. NCBI's taxonomy places the organism in Eukaryota, Viridiplantae, Streptophyta, Magnoliopsida, Rosales, Rosaceae. The transcript is spliced from 3 exons.
AUGUGGAGAGAAUGGUUCAAAAUCGAAGCCUUUUAAGGUGUUGUUCUUUUUAAUGUUUAUGUAAUUUGGUGUAAAUUUGCUUUUGAUGAUUGUGGGAAAUGUGACUUGCUCGUUUUAGUUGGUGUUGAGGGGUGAGGUGGAAGGGAAGACUGAUGGUGGUGGUGGUGGUCGUGUGGAGGCGAUGCGGCAUUUUUGUGUUCCUAAUGGUAAGUUACUGAAGACGUUUCGGCUUUUGAAUGUGCAAGGACUGCCCCCGUGGGCGAAUACCUCGUGUGUUUCUAACUUUAAAGGAUGUGAUUCAGGGAGACAUCCUUUUUGCUGUCCUUUCCAAUUACAUGGUAGCCCUUGAUUGGCUGAUACCUGUGGCCGGGUUUUCUGUUAAUUUGCCUACCCUGGGAACCUUCAAUAUAAAUCCUCACUAUGUCACCAUUUGCUCCAACCAUCCAUCAGUUGUUAUUUGCGGAUGAUAGCUUUCUGUUUGGAGAAGCUUCUGUUAGAGAGUGUCAGGCUAUCAAGAAUAUUCUCUCCAUUUAUGCCAGAGCUUCAGGGUAGAAGAUUAAUCUAGAGAAGUCUAGUGUGGUGUUUGGUAGUAAUGUGGGCUUGCAUUCGAGGAAUCACCUGGCAGCCAUUCUUGGAGUUAAAUGUGUGAAGGAACAUGGGUUAUACCUUGGUCUACCAAUACAUGUGGGGCAUAAUAAAGCAGUCAUUUUUGCUUAUUUGAAGGAAAGACUCACUAAGAAACUGAUAAGUUGGAGAUCUAAGAUUCUUAGUGCAGGAGGGAAAGAGCUUCUUCUCAAAGUCGUUGCUCAAGUUCUUCCGAAUUAUGUCAUGAAUUGAUACUUGCUUCCCAAUUAAGUCCCUUUGUGACGACCUACAGCAACUCUGUGCCUAAUUUUUUUGGGGAAGCACUGAUGAAAAAAGGAAGAUUCAUUGGAGAUCGUGGGAAAGAAUGUGUCUUCCAAAGGAGCAGGGUGGUUUAGGAUUUAAACAUCUUUAUGCUCAUAACCUCGCCAUGUUAUCGAAACAAGGGUGGAGGUUUUUGUCCAACCCUACAUCACUUGUAGCUCGAGUUUUUAAGGCUAUCUACUACCCUAAUGGCUCGUUUCUUACAACUGAUUUGGGCGAUAGACCAUCCUAUUCUUGGAGAAGUAUUCUGGAAGCCAGAUCAACGCUACAAGCUACUAUUUUUUGGAGAAUUGGCAAUGGAACCUCUGUUAAUAUAUGGACUAAUGAUUGGAUUCCCAAUGUUGCAGCCCACUCAAUAUCUAGACCGUUCGACACUGUUUUUGAACUUGUUGCUGACUUGCUAGAUCCUAGUACUGGAUCAUGGGACCAUGCUGCAGUUCAUGCAUGUUUUGCACCUGAUAUUGACAUGCAUAUUUUGACUAUUCCCUUAAGUAGACGCUUUGGGGCAGACAAGAUUGCUUGGAAAGUUUGACAAGAAAGGUUGGUUUUCGGUUAAAUCUACAUACAAGGUGGCUCGUGCGUUUUCCAUUGGCCACAUUUUUGCUUCAACAUCAAAUGGAGACCCGUAUGCUCAGCUUUGGAAGGCUUUGUGGAAGGCCAAAGUUCCCAACAAGGUGGCCAUUUUUGGAUGGCGUGCCGCUCACAAUCUUCUUCCUACUAGGGUGGCAUUGACAGCGAAGGGGUAUACCGGUGAGGUUAGUUGUGUUGUGUGUUCCCAAGGUGCAGAAUCGCUUGAACAUCUUUUCUGUGACUGUUUGAUAGCCCGAGAUAUUUGGAGUGCCCCUCCUUUCGUGAUCUCUCCUUCUAGUUUAUCGUGGAAGGACUGGUUGUUGGCAAGGGCUAGUUCUCUGUCUUCAACCCUCUUUGAUAAGUUACUUGUUCUUUUAUGGAGUCUGUGGAGAAACCGAAAUGGAAUUUUAUGGAGGAAUCAGUCUCAACCUAGCUCUUGCCUUGUGGCUAAUGCUCUAGCUUGGUAUGAGGAAUUUCUACAAGCAAACAUGUGUGGGACUCCUUCUCAGGGCCGUCACUAGUUGAGUAAGAAGUGGAAACCCCCUGCUGGGAUGUUUUGAAAUUGAACGUUGAUGGAGCCUAUUUACCUCAAGUUCCCUAUGGGGGUACAAGGGGAGUGCUUCGUAAUAUGCAAGGGCGCGCAGUUUCUAGCUGCUUUCGUUCAUAGGGUGGAUUAUAUCAGCUCUCCUCUUCACUCUAAGCUGAUGGCUUUGAAGCAAGGCGUGCAAUUCUUACACUCCAUGCAUGUAACGAGGGCAGUGAUCGAAAGUGAUUGCCAGGUAGCAGUAGCAGCUCUUACCAGUGAGCAGGUUGACCUCUCUCAACUCAGUGCUUUAAUUGCUGAAGUUAAGGAUCUGUUAACUCCAAACGCAGGUAUUAGUAUCCAGUUUGUUCCCAGGCAGGGCUAAUAAUGUCGCUCAUAGGCUUGCUAGUCAUGGUUUUGAGUUUAAUGUCAAUCAUGAGUGGGUUGUAAAUGCUCCAGAACUUCUCCUGGAUGCUCUU